UACGAGGGGGGCGAGCGUUGUUCGGAAUUAUUGGGCGUAAAGGGUGCGUAGGCGGUUCCGCAAGUCCUGUGUGAAAUCUUCGGGCUCAACUCGAAGUCUGCACGGGAAACUGCGGGGCUUGAGUGUGGGAGAGGUGAGUGGAAUUCCCGGUGUAGCGGUGAAAUGUGUAGAGAUCGGGAGGAACACCGGUGGCGAAGGCGGGUCUCUGGGCAAUUCCUGACGCUGAGGCGCGAAAGCGUGGGGAGCAAACGGG
Molecule: ribosomal RNA, 253 nt
Filed under: uncultured bacterium
Lineage: Bacteria
Description: partial 16S ribosomal RNA
Rfam family: Bacterial small subunit ribosomal RNA
Source: RNAcentral